AACGAACGCUGGCGGCAUGCCUAACACAUGCAAGUCGAACGAGAUCUUCGGGUCUAGUGACGCACGGGUGCGUAACGCGUGGGAAUCUGCCCUUUGGUUCGGAAUAACAGUUGGAAACGACUGCUAAUACCGGAUGAUGACGAAAGUCCAAAGAUUUAUCGCCAGAGGAUGAGCCCGCGUAGGAUUAGCUAGUUGGUGUGGUAAAGGCGCACCAAGGCGACGAUCCUUAGCUGGUCUGAGAGGAUGAUCAGCCACACUGGGACUGAGACACGGGCCAGACUCCUACGGGAGGCAGCAGUGGGGAAUAUUGGACAAUGGGCGAAAGCCUGAUCCAGCAAUGCCGCGUGAGUGAUGAAGGCCUUAGGGUUGUAAAGCUCUUUUACCCGGGAUGAUAAUGACAGUACCGGGAGAAUAAGCUCCGGCUAACUCCGUGCCAGCCGCCGCAGUAA
RNAcentral lists this ribosomal RNA (449 nucleotides) under uncultured bacterium. Its description in RNAcentral is "partial 16S ribosomal RNA". It matches the Rfam family "Bacterial small subunit ribosomal RNA", at positions 29 to 523 of the family's 1533-position model. The record is from RNAcentral.